UGCCACAGCCAUAUCACCCUGCAGCCCAAGACUGGUUGCCCACGGAAGCUAAGCAGGGUUGAGCCUGGUCAGUACCUGGAUGGGAGACCUCCUGGGAAAACUAGGUUGCUGUUGGAA
This is a ribosomal RNA of Sinocyclocheilus anshuiensis, 117 nucleotides long. The record is from Ensembl. Lineage: Eukaryota; Metazoa; Chordata; Actinopteri; Cypriniformes; Cyprinidae.